Haliotis rufescens (red abalone) is the source of this 328-nucleotide long non-coding RNA. RefSeq lists it as uncharacterized. Lineage: Eukaryota; Metazoa; Mollusca; Gastropoda; Lepetellida; Haliotidae. The record is from RefSeq and is a predicted model, not a curated record. The transcript has 3 exons.
GUAUCGAUACAUUGUUCUCAAUCACCUCUAACACGGAAAUCCCGGUCGAAAUCCACCUGAGCCAUCCACAACGAGGACGUCAAGUAUUUCGAAAACUCGAUUGACAGCCGAAGGAAGGAAGAGCAGCUUGCGGAUGCCAGCAUGUUCAGGGUUUGUGGGGAGGUUCACAGACAUCCUCAGGGAGGAUACCAAGUAUUGAAAUGUCCGGAUGAAUAAAAGAGACAGUCAUCUGUGCAGCAUCAAUGCAAAGAAAGACCAUAGAAGAGCAACAGUGAGUGGUAAAUAUUUUGAAAUUAUUCUGUUUGGUUCAUAUGGUUAUUUUGCAAAU